Molecule: ribosomal RNA, 425 nt
Filed under: uncultured eukaryote
Lineage: Eukaryota
Description: SSU rRNA
Rfam family: Eukaryotic small subunit ribosomal RNA
Source: RNAcentral
CAAUAGCGUAUAUUAAAGUUGUUGCAGUUAAAAAGCUCGUAGUUGGAUUUGUGGUGUGUCCAGUCGGCCUUUGCUCUUUGAGUGAUUGUGCUGUUACUGGUCUGCCAUGUUUGGGUGGAAUCUGUGUGGCAUUAAGUUGUCGUGCAGGGGAUGCCCAUCGUUUACUGUGAAAAAUUAGAGUGUUCAAAGCAGGCUUAUGCCUCUGAAUAUAUUAGCAUGGAAUAAUGAUAUAGGACCUUGGUACUAUUUUGUUGGUUUGCGCACUGAGGUAAUGAUGAACAGGGACAGUUGGGGGUAUUUGUAUUUCGUUGUCAGAGGUGAAAUUCUUAGAUUUACGAAAGACAAACUACUGCGAAAGCAUUUACCAAGGAUGUUUUCAUUGAUCAAGAACGAAAGUAUGGGGAUCGAAGAUGAUCAGAUACCAU